Molecule: transfer RNA, 75 nt
Filed under: Synechococcus phage S-PM2
Lineage: Duplodnaviria; Heunggongvirae; Uroviricota; Caudoviricetes; Pantevenvirales; Kyanoviridae
Description: tRNA21-Ala;
Rfam family: tRNA
About the family: Transfer RNA (tRNA) molecules are approximately 80 nucleotides in length.
Source: RNAcentral
CGGGGAAUUAGCUCAGUUGGUAGUAGCGUUUGCUUUGCAAGCAAAAUGUCAGGAGUUCGAGUCUCCUAUUCUCCA